This 741-nucleotide ribosomal RNA is filed under the name uncultured bacterium. RNAcentral describes it as "bacterial SSU rRNA". It matches the Rfam family "Bacterial small subunit ribosomal RNA", at positions 8 to 796 of the family's 1533-position model. The record is from RNAcentral.
AGAGUUUGAUCAUGGCUCAGGAUAAACGCUGGCGGCAGGCCUAACACAUGCAAGUCGAGCGCCCAGCAAUGGGAGCGGCGGACGGGUGAGUAACGCGUGGGAAUUUUUCCUGGAGUACGGAACAACCGAGGGAAACUUCGGCUAAUACCGUAUGAUGCCGAGAGGCCAAAGAUUUAUCGCUCUGGGGUGAGCCCGCGUCAGAUUAGGUAGUUGGUGGGGUAAUGGCCUACCAAGCCUGCGAUCUGUAGCUGGUCUGAGAGGACGAUCAGCCACACUGGGACUGAGACACGGCCCAGACUCCUACGGGAGGCAGCAGUGGGGAAUCUUGCGCAAUGGGCGAAAGCCUGACGCAGCCAUGCCGCGUGAGUGAAGAAGGUCUUAGGAUUGUAAAGCUCUUUCGCUCGUGACGAUGAUGACGGUAACGAGAGAAGAAGCCCCGGCUAACUUCGUGCCAGCAGCCGCGGUAAUACGAAGGGGGCUAGCGUUGUUCGGAAUUACUGGGCGUAAAGCGCGCGUAGGCGGUUUUGCAAGCCAGAGGUGAAAUGCCUGAGCUCAACUCAGGAAUGGCCUUUGGGACUGCGAGGCUUUGAGGACUGGAGAGGUGAGUGGAAUUCCCAGUGUAGAGGUGAAAUUCGUAGAUAUUGGGAAGAACACCGGUGGCGAAGGCGGCUCACUGGCCAGUUUCUGNNGCUGUAGCGCGAAAGCGUGGGGAUCAAACAGGAUUAGAUACCCUAGUAGUCC